GACGAACGCUGGCGGCGUGCUUAACACAUGCAAGUCGAACGGAAAGGCCCUGCUUUUGUGGGGUGCUCGAGUGGCGAACGGGUGAGUAACACGUGAGUCACCUGCCCUUGACUUUGGGAUAACUUCAGGAAACUGGGGCUAAUACCGGAUAGGAGCUCCUGCUGCAUGGUGGGGGUUGGAAAGUUUCGGCGGUUGGGGAUGGACUCGCGGCUUAUCAGCUUGUUGGUGGGGUAGUGGCUUACCAAGGCUUUGACGGGUAGCCGGCCUGAGAGGGUGACCGGCCUCAUUGGGACUGAGAGACGGCCCAGACUCCUACGGGAGGCAGCAGUGGGGAAUAUUGCACAAUGGGCGGAAGCCUGAGGCAGCAACGCCGCGUGCGGGAUGACGGCCUUCGGGGUGUAAACCGCUUUCGCCUGUGACGAAGCGUGAGUGACGGUAAUGGGUAAAGAAGCACCGGCUAACUACGUG
This 468-nucleotide ribosomal RNA is filed under the name uncultured bacterium. Its description in RNAcentral is "partial 16S ribosomal RNA". It matches the Rfam family "Bacterial small subunit ribosomal RNA", at positions 28 to 507 of the family's 1533-position model. The record is from RNAcentral.